RNAcentral lists this ribosomal RNA (253 nucleotides) under uncultured bacterium. RNAcentral describes it as "partial 16S ribosomal RNA". It matches the Rfam family "Bacterial small subunit ribosomal RNA", at positions 524 to 776 of the family's 1533-position model. The record is from RNAcentral.
UACGUAGGGUGCUAGCGUUAAUCGGAAUUACUGGGCGUAAAGCGUGCGCAGGCGGUUCGUUGUGUCGGCGGUGAAAGCCCCGGGCUCAACCUGGGAAUGGCCGUUGAAACUGGCGAACUGGAGUGUGGCAGAGGGGGGUGGAAUUCCGCGUGUAGCAGUGAAAUGCGUAGAGAUGCGGAGGAACACCGAUGGCGAAGGCAGCCCCCUGGGCUAACACUGACGCUCAGGCACGAAAGCGUGGGGAGCAAACAGG